Molecule: ribosomal RNA, 252 nt
Filed under: uncultured bacterium
Lineage: Bacteria
Description: partial 16S ribosomal RNA
Rfam family: Bacterial small subunit ribosomal RNA
Source: RNAcentral
UACGGAGGAUGCGAGCGUUAUCCGGAUUUAUUGGGUUUAAAGGGUGCGCAGGCGGCACGGCAAGCCGGCGGUCAAAUCGCGGGGCUCAACCCCGCCCAGCCGUCGGAACUGCCGGGCUAGAGUGGGCGAGAAGUGCGCGGAAUGCGUGGUGUAGCGGUGAAAUGCAUAGAUAUCACGCGGAACUCCGAUUGCGAAGGCAGCAUACCGGCGCCCUACUGACGCUGAGGCACGAAAGCGUGGGUAUCGAAUAGG